AAUUGCUUCAACAAUGCACAUACUAGAAUUGGAAUAAUACAGAGAUGAUUAGCAUGGCCCCUAUACAAGGACGAUAUGCAAAUUCAUGAAGCAUUCCAUAUUUUA
Molecule: non-coding RNA, 105 nt
Organism: Octopus bimaculoides (California two-spot octopus)
Lineage: Eukaryota; Metazoa; Mollusca; Cephalopoda; Octopoda; Octopodidae
Source: Rfam